GCAGGGCAGCCCCGGGGAGCGAGGCGCGGACGGCUUUCCCGGGUCGCCGGGCCCGAAGGGCACUCCAGGAGAACCCGGGAUUCAGGGGUUGCCGGGAAUCAUGGGAAUGCCAGGAUUUAAAGGACAUAAGGUCAGUUGCAACUCGCUUGUUUUGCGGACCUGAUGUCACAGAAGCUCCUUGUGUUUUGCGUCCGUUACGUAGUAUUGAAACAGAAAGAGCAUACAAUAUUUAUCUCGAUACUUGCACCUUCCAGCUCUUGUAACAGUAACAAUAUGGGAACAUGCUAAGUUAUUUUACAGUAUAUUAUUAAGUGAAUAAAGAGCAGACAUUUUGAUGAAGACUAUGAAAA
Molecule: long non-coding RNA, 350 nt
Filed under: Scleropages formosus (Asian bonytongue)
Lineage: Eukaryota; Metazoa; Chordata; Actinopteri; Osteoglossiformes; Osteoglossidae
Description: lncRNA (ENSSFOG00015029729.1)
Source: RNAcentral